Molecule: unclassified non-coding RNA, 355 nt
Filed under: soil metagenome
Description: partial contains 5.8S ribosomal RNA, internal transcribed spacer 2, and large subunit ribosomal RNA
Rfam family: 5.8S ribosomal RNA (bases 1-120)
Source: RNAcentral
GAUGAAGAACGUAGCGAAAUGCGAUAAGUAAUGUGAAUUGCAGAAUUCAGUGAAUCAUCGAAUCUUUGAACGCACCUUGCACUCCUUGGUAUUCCGAGGAGUAUGCCUGUUUGAGUGUCAUGAAAUUCUCAACCAUAGCAAUUCUGCUAUUGGCUUGGAUUUGGGACUUGCUGGUUACAUUUGUGAUCGGCUAUCCUUAAAUGUAUUAGCAGAACAACAUUGUCUGAUUGGUGUGAUAAUUAUCUGCAUUAUGAAGAUAAUGUAUUGGUUCAGCUUCUAAUUCACUUUUUUGACUAUUUGACCUCAAAUCAGGUAGGACUACCCGCUGAACUUAAGCAUAUCAAUAAGCGGAGGA